UUUUAAUUGGGGACUGGUAUGAAAGGUUGAAUGAGGAAUAGACUGUUUUGCUUAUAAAGUUAGAAUUUGAUUAUCAAGUAAAAAGGCUUGAAUUUUGUAAAGUGACAAGAAGACCCUAAGAGUUUUAUAUAGAUAGUAAAGUUAUAAUAGUGAAGUAGUUAGUAGCAUGAGGUUUAAAAGUCUAUGUUUGGCUGGGGCGGUUGAAAAUAUUUCGUUUUUGGUAAUUACUAUAAUAGUAGUAAUAGUUAUAAAAUUAUCCUAAUUGGAAAGCAAAAUUAAUUACCUUAGGGAUAACAGCAUAAUCUUCUUUGAGAGAUCAUAUUGACGGGAAGGUUUGUGACCUCGAUGUUGGAUUCGAAUAACUAUAAGGAGCAGAGUUUUUAUAAGUUGGUCUGUUCGACCAUUAAAUCUCACCAUGAUUUGA
Molecule: ribosomal RNA, 424 nt
Filed under: Tetraleberis sp. japan281
Lineage: Eukaryota; Metazoa; Arthropoda; Ostracoda; Myodocopida; Cylindroleberididae
Description: partial large subunit ribosomal RNA
Rfam family: Bacterial large subunit ribosomal RNA (bases 290-424)
Source: RNAcentral